RNAcentral lists this ribosomal RNA (482 nucleotides) under uncultured bacterium. Its description in RNAcentral is "bacterial SSU rRNA". It matches the Rfam family "Bacterial small subunit ribosomal RNA", at positions 30 to 506 of the family's 1533-position model. The record is from RNAcentral.
UUGAACGCUGGCGGCAUGCUUUACGCAUGCAAGUCGAGCGGCAGCGCGGGGGUAACCCUGGCGGCGAGCGGCGAACGGGUGAGUAAUGUAUCGGAACGUACCCAGUCGUGGGGGAUAACUAAUCGAAAGGUUAGCUAAUACCGCAUACGACCUGAGGGUGAAAGCGGGGGACCGUAAGGCCUCGCGCGAUUGGAGCGGCCGAUAUCGGAUUAGCUUGUUGGUGAGGUAAAGGCUCACCAAGGCGACGAUCCGUAGCUGGUCUGAGAGGACGACCAGCCACACUGGAACUGAGACACGGUCCAGACUCCUACGGGAGGCAGCAGUGGGGAAUUUUGGACAAUGGGGGCAACCCUGAUCCAGCCAUUCCGCGUGAGUGAAGAAGGCAUUCGGGUUGUAAAGCUCUUUCAGCAGGAACGAAACGGUGGCUAUUAAUACUAGCUACUAAUGACGGUACCUGAAGAAGAAGCACCGGCUAACUACGU